CCGUGCAGCUGGGGAGUUAGCGGUGCCCUGUACCUGCAAUCCGCUACAGCAGGAGUGAUGUCAUGCCCCGGAUUUGUUUUUGUAGAGCUGCCCUUUAUAAGUGGCGUUGACGUUCUGGUCUCGCGCAACAGGAAUCUGUGAACCGUGUCAGGUCGGGAACGAAGCAGCACUAAGCAGAGUGCCCUGUGUGCCGUGAGGGUGCUGGGACUGAGUUAACUGUAAAGGUAACGUCUGUGGAACUUUUUCAAAGCAUGAUGCACGG
Molecule: signal recognition particle RNA, 262 nt
Filed under: [Clostridium] polysaccharolyticum
Lineage: Bacteria; Bacillati; Bacillota; Clostridia; Lachnospirales; Lachnospiraceae
Description: Clostridium polysaccharolyticum Bacterial large signal recognition particle RNA
Rfam family: Bacterial large signal recognition particle RNA
About the family: The signal recognition particle (SRP) is a universally conserved ribonucleoprotein involved in the co-translational targeting of proteins to membranes. Archaeal SRP consists of a 7S RNA and homologues of the eukaryotic SRP19 and SRP54 proteins.
Source: Rfam by way of RNAcentral